CACCCUUUAAAAGCACUCAGUAGGCCUUUGCUAGUGACCCACUGAGCCGUCAAGAAGGGACAGAGUAAAAAAAACAUCACUUUUGGGUGAAGUGGCAACAUGUGUUGUUUGCUUCAAUCAGUGUUGUGACAAGA
This 134-nucleotide small nucleolar RNA is filed under the name Neotoma lepida (desert woodrat). Lineage: Eukaryota; Metazoa; Chordata; Mammalia; Rodentia; Cricetidae. The record is from RNAcentral.